UACAGAGGGUGCGAGCGUUAAUCGGAAUUACUGGGCGUAAAGCGUGCGUAGACGGUUAUCUAAGUCGGAUGUGAAAGCCCCGGGCUCAACCUGGGAAUUGCAUUCGAGACUGAAUAGCUAGGGUACGGUAGAGGGAAGUGGAAUUUCCGGUGUAGCGGUGAAAUGCGUAGAUAUCAGGAGGAACACCGGUGGCGAAGGCGGGUCUCUGGGCCGAUACUGACGCUGAGGAGCGAAAGCGUGGGGAGCGAACAGG
This 253-nucleotide ribosomal RNA is filed under the name uncultured bacterium. RNAcentral describes it as "partial 16S ribosomal RNA". It matches the Rfam family "Bacterial small subunit ribosomal RNA", at positions 524 to 776 of the family's 1533-position model. The record is from RNAcentral.